UCUUUUUUAGUAUACAAGUAUAUUUAAUUUCCAAUUAAAAGGUCUUCCUAAUUAGAAAAAGAA
Molecule: transfer RNA, 63 nt
Filed under: Hemiodoecus leai
Lineage: Eukaryota; Metazoa; Arthropoda; Insecta; Hemiptera; Peloridiidae
Description: tRNA-Gly
Source: RNAcentral